Molecule: long non-coding RNA, 455 nt
Organism: Saccostrea echinata
Lineage: Eukaryota; Metazoa; Mollusca; Bivalvia; Ostreida; Ostreidae
Exons: 4
Source: RefSeq, a predicted model, not a curated record
GGAACACGUAACAAUUUGUCCUAAAUCUGAGAGAGAAUGGAAUGAGCGGGCAAAAGAAAAGGGAUGUGAAACGCUAGCUCAACAUCAAAAGUGCACAUCAGUAGAGACGUUCUCCUAUCACUGCAUUCUAAAUGCAGAUGCAACAAGACUGGUUGAAGUCUGUGCUCCUAAGUGGUUUAUUACUGGAUACUGUGCACGAUUUAGUACACAAGAGCAGCGAAUAAUAAACGACCCUGGAAUUGACUGUACAAAGUUUAUCCCUCCAUGUCCACCAAGAUAUAAUUCAACAGAAGCUCACAAAUAUCAAAACUGUUAUGCUGAAGUUGAAAGAACCUCCAAUGUAAAUGUUCAUGACUCCUCUGUUUUUUCCUCGCCGGUCGUAUGGACAUUGACAGCUCUGAGCUGUGGUUUACUUAUUGCAUUAAUCAUCAUUACAACACUAUAUAUUCGGGGAC